Molecule: long non-coding RNA, 1220 nt
Filed under: Anas platyrhynchos platyrhynchos (common mallard)
Lineage: Eukaryota; Metazoa; Chordata; Aves; Anseriformes; Anatidae
Description: lncRNA (ENSAPLG00000028895.1)
Source: RNAcentral
UGGCCUACUGUGUCAAAUAUUACCGUGUGUUUUUAUUGAAAAUAUGUAUGUCACGUAUGGAGUUAACAAAGACAAUUCAGCACAUAUCAUGGCCUCUCAGGUGGUAAGUUUGGAUGUAAUGUGACUAUAUGGUGGGUUUGCCUUAAACAUUAUUGCAUCUAUUAUUGGUGCUACAUUCCCUUCAACAUGAUGCAGUCUUCCCUUUCAAGUUUAAAAUGUAAUAAUCAGAUUAUGAAUAUUGUUUCCAACGUUAAUUAGUUUAAUUAGUUUAUCAUAGUUCUGGAUCAGGACCUUGCUGCAGUACUUUCUCUGCUAUGUUUCAUUUAAUUAUAUUUAAUGCAAUCUCUGUAUUUCUCCAGAGGCUACAUAAGCCUUCAGCCAAAGAAUCAAAAUCAAUACAGAGGGCUAUUCUGAGUCCUGUGUUUUAAGGCUUUUAUGCCAUCAUAAGAAAAUUUCUUCAGCCUUGCAUCUGAGAAAAGAUUCACCAAAAAGAAAAAAAAAAUAAAUUUACAGAUGUGGGAAUUACGAUACAGAAGUAUACAGCUCUCCAUUUCUCCUCAGCUUAUUCUGAGAUCUUCAGAUUGGCAGAAGGAAACAAAUCAAAACAUGUUGCAGGAGGUGAGACAAAACAAUGAAGAUGUACCUGUAUGGAGAGACAUCAAAACAGCCCAGCAGUCAUUUCUCCUGGACAGAUACCCCCAGACAAUACUAGUGUAAGGCAAUAUUAGUGUACUUUUGUCACUAUCAAAUACACAAAAUUUCUAAAUGAAACCAGUUAUUAAAAAUUGUUCAUGUUUUAAUUUUUUAAGUAUUUAUUCAAGCUAUUUUUUUCUAUGGGUUGUAUUUUGCUCAGAUAUCAAAAUUGCUAGCCAGAAAUUAUAAAAUCCCUUCAUCCUGCUAUGAUAUUAUUUUCAUUUUUCCUUUAAACAUGAAUUAAUUUACCACUAAGCCAAAUUAGUGUCCCUAGCAAUAAUUUUCUCCCUCUUCCUAAAAUUGAGCGGUGAGGGAUUGUCUCACCGCUCAGUUUCUUGUAAUCUCUUGAUUUAGUUACACAAAGAUGAGUACUCUAAUUAUAAAAAUAGUCAAAACUGGUAUCUACUUUUCCACAUGAAGUCUUUAUUCUUUGAUAAAACAACUUUUUUUUUUUUUCCUUUCAACAACAAGAAGAAAAAAUAUUACAGGGUAAUAAAGCUAAGCUAAAACUCUUAAAAAAAAAAAAA